AGAUUGAACGCUGGCGGCAGGCCUAACACAUGCAAGUCGAGCGGUAGAGAGGUGCUUGCAUCUCUUGAGAGCGGCGGACGGGUGAGUAAUGCCUAGGAAUCUGCCUAGUGGUGGGGGAUAACGUUCGGAAACGGACGCUAAUACCGCAUACGUCCUACGGGAGAAAGCGGGGACCUUCGGGCCUCGCGCCAUUAGAUGAGCCUAGGUCGGAUU
This 213-nucleotide ribosomal RNA is filed under the name uncultured soil bacterium. Its description in RNAcentral is "partial 16S ribosomal RNA". It matches the Rfam family "Bacterial small subunit ribosomal RNA", at positions 26 to 242 of the family's 1533-position model. The record is from RNAcentral.